GGGUUAACGCUGGCGGCGUGCCUAACACAUGCAAGUCGAACGGUUCUAAGCGCGAGCUUAGGAUAGUGGCGAACGGGUGAGUAAAAGGUAGGAAUCUACCCCUUGGACGGAGAUAGCUACUGGAAACGGUAGGUAAACUUCGAUAAGCCCGAGAGGGGAAAGUGGUGAGACAGCCGAGGGAUGAGCCUACUCUCCAUCAGGUAGUUGGUGAGAUAAAAGCUUACCAAGCCGAUGACGGAUAACCGGUGUGAGAGCAUGAACGGUCACAAGGGCACUGAGAGACGGGCCCUACUCCUACGGGAGGCAGCAGUGGGGAAUCUUGGACAAUGGGCGAAAGCCUGAUCCAGCGACGCCGCGUGGAGGAAGAAGUCCUUCGGGAUGUAAACUCCUGGACUGGGGGACGAGAAAGGACGGUACCCCAGUAGAAAGGGACGGCUAACUACGUGCCAGCAGCCGCGGUAAAACGUAGGUCCCGAGCGUUGUUCGGAUUCACUGGGUGUAAAGGGCGCGUAGGUGGUUGUCUGUGUCUCAUGUGAAAACUCAGGGCUCAACUCUGAGAUUGCGUGGGAAACUAGGCAGCUAGAGGACGGUAGAGGGGAGUGGAAUUCCCGGUGUAGCGGUAAAAUGCGUAGAUAUCGGGAGGAACACCGGUGGCGAAGGCGGCUCUCUGGGCCGAUCCUGACGCUGAGGCGCGAAAGCUAGGGGAGCGAACCGGAUUAGAUACCCGGGUAGUCCUAGCCGUAAACGAUGGGUGCUAAGUGUUGGGGGGGUAAAGACCCUUCAGUGCCGAAGCCAACGCGAUAAGCAUCCCACCUGGGGAGUACGGCCGCAAGGUUGAAACUCAAAGGAAUUGGCGGGGGUCCGCACAAGCGGCGGAGCAUGUGGUUUAAUUCGAUGCUGCCCGAAGAACCUUACCAGGGUUUGACAUGCUGGUGGUAGGAACCUGAAAGGGGGACGACCCAACCGUAAGGGAGGGAGCCAGCACAGGUGUUGCAUGGCUGUCGUCAGCUCGUGCCGUGAGGUGUCGGCUUAAGUGCCGUAACGAGCGCAACCCUCAUCCCUAAUUGCUCCUGGCAGGUAAAAGGGUCAGAGCACAAUAGGGAGACCGCUGGCGAAGAGCCAGAGGAAGGGGAGGAUGACGUCAAGUCAGCAUGGCCUUUAUGCCCUGGGCUACACACAUGCUACAAUGCAGGGUACAACGGGAAGCGAAGCCGCGAGGUGGAGCAAAUCCCCAAAAGCCCUGCUCAGUUCGGAUCGCACGCUGCAAUUCGCGUGCGUGAAGUCGGAGUCGCUAGUAACCGUGGAUCAGCAAAGCCGCGGUGAAUACGUUCUCGGGCCU
This 1339-nucleotide ribosomal RNA is filed under the name uncultured bacterium. RNAcentral describes it as "bacterial SSU rRNA". It matches the Rfam family "Bacterial small subunit ribosomal RNA", at positions 26 to 1381 of the family's 1533-position model. The record is from RNAcentral.